CCAUAAGUAUUCAUGCAGACAUUUAUUCAUCAGAUUUAUAUCUUUGCUUUGUUUGACACUGGGCGUAGUAAUAUGACAGUUCGACUUUUGCUUGUCAGUUGGUGACUCGAAUAGCCAAUGAAAUUAAGUAACAAUGACAUGAUAAAAAAAAUUAACGUUUCAACUGAUUUUGAUAACAGUGCAGCGAUCACAGGAUUCGAUACUACUUUCGAAUUAUCAAAAUAAUAACUAUACUCAUUAAUUUCUCUUGACUUUCGUAGUCAUUUCAGAUAAAUUUUCAUUUGGUUUUUAAUUAUUGCAUUUAUAACUACUAAGCGUGCAUUACAACAUUUUGUACCGAACGGACUUUAGCAUUGUAUCUCUAGGAAGCUGGGGUGACAUCAUGGAAACGGAUAAACUUUAAAAGAAUUACUAUAUCACCAUAUCACGUACCCGGUAGGACUGGUUUAUCAACAUAAUAAUGUCUGUGAUCAGACAGAUCUGUCCAUAGUUUACUGGAAUCAUGAAUUUUAAAUCCGAAAUACAUUUGCAUUACAUACCUAAAUAUAUCGAAUACGUGCUAAUGAUGUCAGCCUUGAGGCGGACAUGAGAUAUCCUGCAUUAUGAGAUGAGUCUUGGGGGUCACUCUACCUAGAUCUAUGUAUAGGUAGACUCUAGACAGAUAAAAAAUCACAGACACAGACCUAAGCAAAGACUAUAAUAGUUAUCAGUUUUCAAUCAUGAAGGGCUAAUUUUAUUUUUAUAAUCCUGUAUUUUUAUACAUAUCACUGAAGUUCCCGCUAACCCUGUAAAAUACUUACUAGAAAAGUUAUGUACCUUUUUCAAGGGAUAGCGAUUGAUUAAUACAAUUAUAUCAAAAACGGAUUUGUGUAUUUAAAUGUAAGACGAAAUCCUAACUUUUCAGAGUAUUCUGGUUGUUUCAAAAUUGGUUCAGCCCUUAUAUAUAAUUUCUGAAUAAUCUGUAAGUUGAUCUAUAUUCUUUGUCUUAUUGUAAGUUUUAUAACUUUAUUUGUAGGAGCGGGGAUAAUGUCCUGUAAUAAUUUAUAAUUGUAGUUGUUCAAAAUAUGUUAUGUAUGAUAUUUAUCUGAAUAAUUAUUAUCUGAAGGUUCACUUCUGUUACAGUUAUGUAACAGUUAAGCAGUAUCGUCGCAUAUCAUUUACUCGCGUACUCUAAACCGAGUGAAGGAUAGACCUUGUGGAUUGACGUAGCUGUGUGAAUAGAAAACUACAAUAAUAUACCUAGUACGUACCUAGGUAGUGACGGACAAUUCAGCUGCAUACAAUGGCUUAGUAGUUUAGCGAACUGCGCAGCUUCCGUCGGUCUUGCGGAUUUAAAUGCAUAAUAUUUAAAAAAAAAUUUUUUAAAUGUGGAGUUAUUGUUUUAAGUUUGCAAAAUACUAGUUUAUGUUGAGAAAGUUUAUAAAAUAAACGCACAAAACAAGAAUAUACAAACAUCGUGAGUAAUAAAAGUUAUAUCAGUGUUAAUGUGAACAAACUC
This is a non-coding RNA of Plutella xylostella (diamondback moth), 1498 nucleotides long. The record is from RefSeq and is a predicted model, not a curated record. Lineage: Eukaryota; Metazoa; Arthropoda; Insecta; Lepidoptera; Plutellidae.